This 1245-nucleotide ribosomal RNA is filed under the name Triticum aestivum (bread wheat). Its description in RNAcentral is "partial small subunit ribosomal RNA". The record is from RNAcentral. Lineage: Eukaryota; Viridiplantae; Streptophyta; Magnoliopsida; Poales; Poaceae.
AUGGCCCUCGCGCUCCGCCUCCGUCGGGCCCUCGCCGCCGCCUCCACCUCCGCGUCCCUCCUCCGUCCGACCGCCUCCGCCGCGGCAUCCCCCCAUCGGCCCCCCCUCCUCGCCCCCUUCGUCGCGCCGCUGCCGCUCCCGCGCCUGUUCCUACCCGGGGGCGCCGCCGGCUUCCGGUCGACGGCGGCGGCAGCGGCACGGGGUAACUACGGCGGUGGGGCGGACGACGCCAAAAUCGACCCCGACGAGAUCCUCUUCGAGGGGUGCGACUACAACCACUGGCUCAUCACAAUGGAGUUCCCCAACCCCAAGCCCUCCCGCGAGGAGAUGAUCGAGACCUACCUGCAGACCCUCGCCAAGGUCGUCGGAAGUUAUGAGGAGGCUAAGAAGAGGAUGUAUGCUCUUAGUACAACAACAUAUGUUGGUUUUCAAGCUGUAAUGACUGAGGAAAUGUCAGAAAAGUUUCGCGGAUUGCCUGGAGUUGUUUUUAUCUUGCCUGAUUCAUAUUUAUACCCAGAGACAAAGGAGUAUGGAGGAGACAAAUAUGAGAAUGGUGUCAUAACUCCAAGACCACCACCUGUUCAGUAUAGCAAACUGUCAAGGAAUGAUAGAAACCGCAACUAUCGUGGGAAUUACGAAAACAGUCCUCCACCGCAAGGUAAUUACCAGAACAGUCCUCCACCUCACGGAAAUUACCAGAACAGGUCGCCACCACAAGGAAACUUCCAAGGGUCCCGCCCACAGCAAGAAGUAAGAGGCUACGCUCCACAGCAGAAUUACACACAAGCUGGACAAGAUGGUAGAGGUUAUGGGAGGAAUGAUUCCGCCGACCGUCCAGGUUACAAUGCACCUGGUGGGUACCAAGGGCGUGUAAAUGAAGCCGGUCAAGGUUUCCAAGAUCCACAAGAGCGCAGGAGUUUCUCGCAAGGACAGGAAGGAGAUCUCAGGCCUGGUGGCCCUUCAGCACCUGGAAAUUAUGGUCAACCACCUGCACCUGGAAAUUACGGUCAACCGCCUGCACCUGGAAAUUAUGGUCAACCGUCUGCACCUGGAUCCUAUGGGAAGCCAUUUGGACCUCCAGCUUAUGGGCAACCGUCUGGAUCGAGAUAUGCUGGAGGUAACCAAGGGGGUCCUGGUUAUGGUGGAGACAACAGACAGGGUGCAGCGCCUGCAUAUGGAGGAGAUAACUUACAAGGGGUUUCCGAUCAGUAUCCUAGCCCAGGUGAAGGACAACAAGGGAACUGA